RNAcentral lists this ribosomal RNA (253 nucleotides) under uncultured bacterium. RNAcentral's name for it is "partial 16S ribosomal RNA". It matches the Rfam family "Bacterial small subunit ribosomal RNA", at positions 524 to 776 of the family's 1533-position model. The record is from RNAcentral.
UACGUAGGGGGCGAGCGUUGUCCGGAAUCAUUGGGCGUAAAGCGCGUGUAGGCGGCUUGAUCAGUCCGGUGUGAAAUCUUGGGGCUCAACCCCAAGCCUGCACUGGAUACUGUCAAGCUUGAGUCCGGGAGGGGAGAGCGGAAUUCCUAGUGUAGCGGUGAAAUGCGCAGAUAUUAGGAAGAACACCGGUGGCGAAGGCGGCUCUCUGGAACGGUACUGACGCUGAGACGCGAAAGCGUGGGGAGCGAACAGG